This 468-nucleotide ribosomal RNA is filed under the name uncultured bacterium. RNAcentral describes it as "partial 16S ribosomal RNA". It matches the Rfam family "Bacterial small subunit ribosomal RNA", at positions 28 to 507 of the family's 1533-position model. The record is from RNAcentral.
GACGAACGCUGGCGGCGUGCUUAACACAUGCAAGUCGAACGGAAAAGCCCUGCUUUUGUGGGGUGCUCGAGUGGCGCACGUGUGAAUAACACGUGAGUCUCCUGCCCUUUACUUUGGGAUAACUUCAGGAAACUGCGGCUAAUACCUGCUAGCUGCUCCUGCUGCAUGGUGGGGUUUGGACAUUUUCGGCUGUUGGGGAUGUACUGCCGGCUUAUCAGCUUGUUGGUGGGGUAUUUGCUUACCCAGGCUUUGACGGGUAGCCGGCCUGAGAGGGUGAACGGCGUCAAUGGGACUGAGAGACGGAGCAGACGCCUACGGGAGGCAGCAGUGGGGAAUAUGGCACAAUGGGCGGAAGCCUGAGGAAGAAACGCUGCGUGCGGGAUGAAGGCCUUCGGGUGGGAAACCGCAUUCGCCUGUGACGAAGCGUGAGUGACGGUAAUGGGUAAAGAAGCACCGGCUAACUACGUG